GACGAACGCUGGCGGCGUGCUUAACACAUGCAAGUCGAACGGAAAGGCCCUUCGGGGUACUCGAGUGGCGAACGGGUGAGUAACACGUGGGUGAUCUGCCCUGCACUUUGGGAUAAGCCUGGGAAACUGGGUCUAAUACCGAAUAGGACCACGCGCUUCAUGGUGUGUGGUGGAAAGCUUUUGCGGUGUGGGAUGGGCCCGCGGCCUAUCAGCUUGUUGGUGGGGUAAUGGCCUACCAAGGCGACGACGGGUAGCCGGCCUGAGAGGGUGACCGGCCACACUGGGACUGAGAUACGGCCCAGACUCCUACGGGAGGCAGCAGUGGGGAAUAUUGCACAAUGGGCGCAAGCCUGAUGCAGCGACGCCGCGUGAGGGAUGACGGCCUUCGGGUUGUAAACCUCUUUCAAUAGGGACGAAGCGCAAGUGACGGUACCUAUAGAAGAAGCACCGGCCAACUACGUGCCAGCAGCCGCGGUAAUACGUAGGGUGCGAGCGUUGUCCGGAAUUACUGGGCGUAAAGAGCUCGUAAGUGGUUUGUCGCGUUGUUCGUGAAAACUCACAGCUUAACUGUGGGCGUGUGGGCGAUACGGGCAGACUAGAGUACUGCAGGGGAGACUGGAAUUCCUGGUGUAGCGGUGGAAUGCGCAGAUAUCAGGAGGAACACCGGUGGCGAAGGCGGGUCUCUGGGCAGUAACUGACGCUGAGGAGCGAAAGCGUGGGGAGCGAACAGGAUUAGAUACCCUGGUAGUCCACGCCGUAAACGGUGGGUACUAGGUGUGGGUUCCUUCCUUGGGAUCCGUGCCGUAGCUAACGCAUUAAGUACCCCGCCUGGGGAGUACGGCCGCAAGGCUAAAACUCAAAGGAAUUGACGGGGGCCCGCACAAGCGGCGGAGCAUGUGGAUUAAUUCGAUGCAACGCGAAGAACCUUACCUGGGUUUGACAUGCACAGGACGCCGGCAGAGAUGUCGGUUCCCUUGUGGCCUGUGUGCAGGUGGUGCAUGGCUGUCGUCAGCUCGUGUCGUGAGAUGUUGGGUUAAGUCCCGCAACGAGCGCAACCCUUGCCCUAUGUUGCCAGCGGGUUAUGCCGGGGACUCGUAGGAGACUGCCGGGGUCAACUCGGAGGAAGGUGGGGAUGACGUCAAGUCACCAUGCCCCUUAUGUCCAGGGCUUCACACAUGCUACAAUGGCCGGUACAAAGGGCUGCGAUGCCGUGAGGUGGAGCGAAUCCUUUCAAAGCCGGUCUCAGUUCGGAUCGGGGUCUGCAACUCGACCCCGUGAAGUCGGAGUCGCUAGUAAUCGCAGAUCAGCAACGCUGCGGUGAAUACGUUCCCGGGCCU
This 1337-nucleotide ribosomal RNA is filed under the name uncultured bacterium. Its description in RNAcentral is "bacterial SSU rRNA". It matches the Rfam family "Bacterial small subunit ribosomal RNA", at positions 28 to 1381 of the family's 1533-position model. The record is from RNAcentral.